UCCGAGUUGACCCCGGCAGUCUCCCAUGAGUCCCCGCCAUUACGCGCUGGCAACAUGGAACGAGGGUUGCGCUCGUUGCGGGACUUAACCCAACAUCUCACGACACGAGCUGACGACAGCCAUGCAGCACCUGUGCUCGAGCUCCGAAGAGGGGCCCCGGUCUCUCGGGGCUUUCUCGAGCAUGUCAAGCCCAGGUAAGGUUCUUCGCGUCGCAUCGAAUUAAACCACAUGCUCCACCGCUUGUGCGGGCCCCCGUCAAUUCCUUUGAGUUUCAGCCUUGCGGCCGUACUCCCCAGGCGGGGCACUUAAUGCGUUAGCGCCGGCACCCAGGGGGUCGCUCCCCCAGGCACCUAGUGCCCAUCGUUUACGGCGUGGACUAC
RNAcentral lists this unclassified non-coding RNA (380 nucleotides) under uncultured Gemmatimonadaceae bacterium. RNAcentral's name for it is "contains 16S-23S intergenic spacer region". The record is from RNAcentral. Lineage: Bacteria; Pseudomonadati; Gemmatimonadota; Gemmatimonadia; Gemmatimonadales; Gemmatimonadaceae.